GGACCCGCACAAGCGGUGGAGCAUGUGGUUUAAUUCGACGCAACGCGAAGAACCUUACCAGGGCUUGACAUCCUCUGCAAGCUAUAGAGAUAUAGUGAUUCAUCUUUCGGGAUGGACAGAGAGACAGGUGGUGCAUGGUUGUCGUCAGCUCGUGUCGUGAGAUGUUGGGUUAAGUCCCGCAACGAGCGCAACCCCUACAUUUAGUUGCCAGCAUUAAGUUGGGCACUCUAAAGGAACUGCCGGUGACAAACCGGAGGAAGGUGGGGAUGACGUCAAAUCAUCAUGCCCUUUAUGUUCUGGGCUACACACGUGCUACAAUGGCCGGUACAGAGGGAGGCGAAGGAGUGAUCCGGAGCGAAUCCCAAAAAGCCGGUCACAGUUCGGAUUGCAGGCUGCAACUCGCCUGCAUGAAGUCGGAAUCGCUAGUAAUCGCGAGUCAGCAUAUCGCGGUGAAUACGUUCCCGGGUCUU
Molecule: ribosomal RNA, 470 nt
Filed under: uncultured bacterium
Lineage: Bacteria
Description: bacterial SSU rRNA
Rfam family: Bacterial small subunit ribosomal RNA
Source: RNAcentral